CCAAUGACUACAUGGGACACCUGGAUUUGAAUUUAGGCCCUAAUCUGGAUUCAGUAGCAUUACAGGUUCCUUCUGAAGAACUAAAUCCUUGGGUGGCCAUUAGGACCUGGAUGAAAUUACACCAGGACAGAGCAAUCUGUUGGAAGGCAUUUCCCCUCCAUGGCAUCUUCCAGGCCUGAACAGAGCCCCGGGG
Molecule: non-coding RNA, 193 nt
Organism: Miniopterus natalensis
Lineage: Eukaryota; Metazoa; Chordata; Mammalia; Chiroptera; Miniopteridae
Source: RefSeq, a predicted model, not a curated record